GUUGGAAUGGGCUUAGAUGAAAUAAAGAUAAAUGGCCCAACAAUGGCAUACAUCCCUAAAAACCAUCAGAUUACUCCAGUUUCAAGCCUCGAUCUCCUGCACUUACGGAAACGACUAUACCACCGAUGGAGGGAGAAGAAUACAAUCGAACAUCACACUGAAGAUGCACAUAGCUCUCUUCUCAAUUGGUUAGAAAGGUUUCAUCAAUACAAACAUAGAGAAUUUUACAUUGCAGGAGAAAGUUAUGCUGGAGAUUAUGUUUCUUAGCUAUCUCAAAUCAUAUUUGGAAAAAACAAGGGAAUUCAACAUCCAAUAAGUAGUUUCAAGGAAUCCAUGGUCGGGAAUGCUGUUAUUAAUGAUUACCAUGAUUACAUUGGCACAUUCGAGUAUUGGUGGACUCCUGGUUUAAUUUCAAAUUCUACUUAUAAAGUUUUAAGGGUAACUGGUAACUUUGGAUCUGCUACACAUCCUACAAGUGAAUGUGUUAAGGCUUUUGCCCUUGCAGAACAGGAGCAGGGAACAUUGACCCAUAUAGCACGUACACCCUCCCUUGGAAUGAUACAUCUUCACUUAAGCGCAGAUUAAGGGGUCAUUAUCCAUGGAUGUCCCGAGCAUACUUCCAAUGCACUGAAAG
Molecule: long non-coding RNA, 634 nt
Filed under: Olea europaea subsp. europaea
Lineage: Eukaryota; Viridiplantae; Streptophyta; Magnoliopsida; Lamiales; Oleaceae
Source: RNAcentral